GCGGUAAUUCCAGCUCCAAUAGCGUAUAUGUAAAUUGUUGCGGUUGAAAAGCUCGUAGUUGGACUUCUGGCGUCCGCAUUCUGUCCGCCUUGCGUGAUGAUGGUUUGCGGGCGUCGUUUUGUCGACGGUGCGUGUCGGACUUCACUGGCCGGUGCGCUCUCUGUCGGCGACGUUACUUUGAGGAAAUCAGAGUGCUCAAAGCAAGCGUUUGCUCGUGACUUCACUAGCAUGGAAUAACACAGAUGGGCUCUUUUUCGCAACGUUGGUCUGCGUCAACUGAGCAACGAUCGAUAGAGACGGUCGGGGGCAUUCGUAUUGCGCAGUUAGAGGUGAAAUUCUCCGAUCUGCGCAAGACGCACUAAUGCGAAAGCAGUUGCCAAGGACGUUCUCUUAUGAUCAAGAGCGAAAGUCGGGGGAUCAAAGAUGAUUAGAUACCGUCGUAGUCCCGACCAUAAAUGAUGCCAACUGAGCGUCGGCGACGCGGCUGUCAGCCGGACGUCGGCGCUCUUGAGAGAAAUUAAAGUCUUUGGGCUCCGGGGGUAGUAUGGUCGCAAGUCUGAAACUUGAAGGAAUUGACGGAAGGGCACCACAAGGCGUGGAUGUUGCGGCUUAAUUUGACUCAACACGGGAAAGCUUACUAGGUUUGGACACUUGAAUGAGGGACAUAUUGAAGCUCUUACCUUUUUUUGUGGAUGGUGGUGCAUGGUCGUUCUCAGCCCGUGGGUUGACCUGUCAGGUUUACUCCGGUAACGCGCGAGACCUCGGUUUGCUAAAUAGACACGGCUGUUUCGGCACCCGUGAUCUUCUUAGAGAGAGUCUUGACGAGAGUUGAGGGAAGUCGAGGCAAUAACAGAUCUGUGAUGCCCUUAGUUAUCCUAGGUCGCACGCGCCAUACAAUGUGGCGCACAACGAGUCUCCUAGGCCGACAGGAUCUGGGCAAUCUUGCAGAGCGCUACGUGACUGGGCUAGACUUUUGUAAUUGUUGGUCUUGAACGAGGAAUGCCUAGUAAUCGCAGGUCAUUAUCCUGAGAUGAUUCGGUCCCUGCCCUUUGUACACACCGCCCGUCGCUCCAUCCGUGGCAUGCGCCGGUGAAGAGGGGGAGGCAGCGUCGAUCGGGUAACACCGGCUCGUACGUGGAACCCCUCUGAACCUUCGCACGUAGAGGAAGGAGAAGUCGUAACAAGGUUUUCGUAGGUGAACCUGCGAAAGGAUCAUUAUCGGCACA
This 1226-nucleotide ribosomal RNA is filed under the name Penicillus capitatus. Its description in RNAcentral is "SSU rRNA". It matches the Rfam family "Eukaryotic small subunit ribosomal RNA", at positions 576 to 1831 of the family's 1831-position model. The record is from RNAcentral. Lineage: Eukaryota; Viridiplantae; Chlorophyta; Ulvophyceae; Bryopsidales; Halimedaceae.